UACGGGGGGGGCAAGCGUUGUUCGGAAUUACUGGGCGUAAAGGGCUCGUAGGCGGCCAACUAAGUCGGAUGUGAAAUCCCCAGGCUUAACCUGGGAACUGCAUCCGAUACUGGAUGGCUUGAAUUCGGGAGAGGGAUGCAGAAUUCCAGGUGUAGCGGUGAAAUGUGUAGAUAUUGGGAGGAACACCGGUGGCGAAGGCGGCUACCUGGACCGGUACUGACGCUGAGGCGCGAAAGCUAGGGUAGCAAACAGG
This 253-nucleotide ribosomal RNA is filed under the name uncultured bacterium. Its description in RNAcentral is "partial 16S ribosomal RNA". It matches the Rfam family "Bacterial small subunit ribosomal RNA", at positions 524 to 776 of the family's 1533-position model. The record is from RNAcentral.